Molecule: long non-coding RNA, 308 nt
Organism: Drosophila willistoni
Lineage: Eukaryota; Metazoa; Arthropoda; Insecta; Diptera; Drosophilidae
Exons: 2
Source: RefSeq, a predicted model, not a curated record
CCAGGCUCUUGUUUCAUCUGUGGAUCCAUGGAGCAUUGGGCGGCCAAAUGUCCAGAUAGGAAGGGCAGCCGUAAAACUAAUGGACUCAACCGUACGAACCAGAGCAGCAACAAUUUCCGUGCCUCAUAGAUUCGGGGAGUCCAGUUUCCUUAAUCAAGAAGAAACAUUUACCUAAUCAUUCAUAUCUUUAUUCUGUCGAGCAAUCUUAUCAAGGGCUAAAUGGAAGUCCUCUCAUUACAUUUGGAAAAUUACUAUGUUACGUUGUGAAAAAUUCAAUAAAGAUUUACUUUUAUUUACUCGUUAUCCCA